CUGGGCUAAACCAAUCGAUUCCACAAUCGAUUCUUUAAACAAACAAAGAACAAACUCGAAAUCGAUUAAUCAAUCGAUUUAAACAAAAAAAACUUCUGAUUAACUGCCAUUGACUCUUUUCCUCUGUCAUCAAUACAACUUGGUUGACCAAUCUUUCUUCAUUUAAUCUUCAUUUAAUGUUAAAGACAAGAUUCUCAUACUUGUCUCAUUUCACGUGUCUUGAGCAUCCACUUUCAAAUAUCAAUCUUGCUUGGUGGAUGUCAAGUACACCUGCAAAAAAAUAAUUAAUUUUUGGAUCUAGGUACCCAAUUCAGAUUGGGUCCUGGGGGGUCAGUCUUAAACACAGAUUCUUUUGCUAUCCAAACUUGCUUCCAUCCUCUAUUGGCUAAUUUUUUAAAUUUGCAAUUUGACACAAAAUGUCCCUUUCUGCAACAGAAAUGACAUCUGCCAUCAAAGGAUGAAUGUUUAUUUGGUUUAGUAAAGAUGUCAUACAUACUCUUAGCAAUAGAAGAUUUUUGACCAUGUUUGACA
RNAcentral lists this long non-coding RNA (531 nucleotides) under Cicer arietinum (chickpea). Its description in RNAcentral is "long non-coding RNA (CARI_LNC003694)". The record is from RNAcentral. Lineage: Eukaryota; Viridiplantae; Streptophyta; Magnoliopsida; Fabales; Fabaceae.